AACAACUCUCAGCAACGGAUAUCUCGGCUCUUGCAUCGAUGAAGAACGCAGCGAAAUGCGAUAAAUGGUGUGAAUUGCAGAAUCCCGUGAACCAUCGAGUCUUUGAACGCAAGUUGCGCCCGAGGCCAUCAGGCCAAGGGCACGCCUGCCUGGGCAUUGCGAGUC
This 165-nucleotide ribosomal RNA is filed under the name Paphiopedilum gratrixianum. Its description in RNAcentral is "5.8S ribosomal RNA". It matches the Rfam family "5.8S ribosomal RNA". From Rfam's summary of the family: 5.8S ribosomal RNA (5.8S rRNA) is a component of the large subunit of the eukaryotic ribosome. It is transcribed by RNA polymerase I as part of the 45S precursor that also contains 18S and 28S rRNA. RNAcentral also lists the same sequence under 2 other names. Lineage: Eukaryota; Viridiplantae; Streptophyta; Magnoliopsida; Asparagales; Orchidaceae. The record is from RNAcentral.